GGAGGUAGAUGCUACAUCCUGUGAACCUCAGUAAGGGGGAUGCCUCUGUGUGUAGGGAUGUCAAGGCCCUGGCCCCGUGUCAUCCCCAGAUAAGCCCCAUAUCACCCUGGGAGCUCUGCAAGGACAGAAUCCAUGUGACAUUUUGGGAACUUCUAAGAUGCUAAUCAGAGGCCUUCUCCUCUGAGUUCUCAAACAAAUGAGAAGUAGACCCAAGGGUCAAGGGUUGAUGAAAAUAGCAUGGUUGUUUGCAGAGCUGGAUUGGAUCUGCAGAGAGCCCAAGCCUCCCUGUCUUCCUCUGUCUAGUCUCCGGCCACUGACAGAGUCCAGGCAGAGACAGAACCAGGCCGUAGACUUGCUGUGGGGAAGGAUAUCUGUCACAUGGAAGCAGAAGCCAACAGCAUCUUUCCCCUGUGGUCCCUAAAGGAAAAAUUGAGGCAGACCACAGGGAAUAGCAACUCUUUCGUAGCUUAAGACACCCAUGGACAUCUUCUCAUCCUUCCCAGCAGCUGUCCUUCAGGAAAGAGGGAAUGGAGUGGGAAUUUUCCCCCCAAUACUUUCAGGGAAGAAGUCAUCAUUUGCUACUCUCUGAAUGUUUGUGCUUUUUCCCCAAAUUCCUAUGUUGAAGUUCACCCCUAAGGUGACGGCCUUAGGAGGUGGGGCCUUUGGAAGGUGAUUAAGUCAUGGAGAUGGAGUCCUAAUGCACAGGAUUGGUGGUUUUAUAAAAGAGGCCCAAGAGAGAUCUCUUUUCUUUUCCACCAUGUGAGAACACAGCAAGCAGUCACCGUCUAUGAACUAGAAAGCUGAUUCACCAGACACCGAAUCUGCCAGCACCUUGGUCUUGGACUUCCCAGCCUCCAGAACUAGGAAAUGUUCCAACACAUCUGAGGAAACACAUGCCUUCCCAGACUGGCCUGUUGCUGUUUCCCAGGAGCUGCAUUCUGGAAGGUGGACCAUCAGGUGGAAGAAGUAUUCUUCAGAGAGCUGCCUUCCCAAGGGAAUGGUGACAGCUUGCGCUUGCCGGGGAGUCCUGCUGCCUUCCGAGGUGUGAAGGGAAGGCAUGCACUGUGCAUAUGCUGUACCAUACAGUUUUGCCUACAACUGCUUGUAGCUUCAUUGUAGCUGUGAAUGCUCCGUUCCUCUCCUUUUCACCCCUGAAGAUUCGCGAACAUGCAGGAUUGAGCUGUGCGAGGCAUAGCAUUCCCCACAUGGUAGACGAAGGCGGAUGUGGGUCUGAUGGCUCUACUGCCGUCCACCCGGGAGGAUGGACGUGUGUUCCGGGAUAUCAGAGCUUGCGGCUGACCAGCCCACAUGUCCAUGCAGCCCUCCCGCUGGCUGUGUCGACAUUUUGGGUGUCACUGAAGGAUUUUACUGGUGCAGACUUUACAAAGGCAAAAUUGUUUCUCAAGGAAGUGGACAUGAAAGAUCUAAAAUCAGGGCUGCUUAAAAAAAGCAAGCACAGAUUAAUGACCUAUCUACAUCCUACACGGUUUUAGGACUGCGCCUAGAUGGGCUUAAAGACCCUAGCCUAAAAACUGUAAAUGUGCUUCCGUCUUUGCCCUGUAGGACAAGAAAGCCUUACGGGCUUGCUUCUAACUGUGAGAGGAGGAGAGGCCAGGAAGGGAGAGGGAGAAAAGGAGGAGAACAGGAGACGAGAAGGAGGGGAGAGUGAGGAGAGGAGGAGAGAGGCUUGUCAAAAUCUUUUUAGUGCACAAAACUAAUUUUGUUCAUCUUGGAUUUGGUGAGCUGGGUAAUAUUCUGUGCACGGCUCCUAAAUGAAUUAUUAAAUGUCAACUCAAGAUGGCUUAACUAAAAUACUCAAUUUAAUAACCAAAAGUAUCUAAGGUAACAACAACAAUUUUGCAGGUGAUUGUAGAGUUGUCAAGUCAAACCAUUAUAGACAAGCAUUUGGGGUUUUCACAUAAUCUCCUUCCACAUCUCAUCUUCUGUCACUAAAUACCCACUCUGGUGAGCAUAUUCCAUUUCAAUAAAGAUCAUCGCUUCGGUGCCAGCUUCUUUUUAUUCAGAUCGAGCCAGAAAACCUUUUUUUUUUUUCUAAAAUAUAAAGCAAAACAAGAUCUCAGUCACAACCACCAAAUCUUUAUUAAUGCAUUCCUUGUGCUACUUCUGAAUAUUAAUAAAAAUUAAUAAUUAAUUUUGCCUUUGGCAUUGCAAGAUAUACUAGUUUUAAUUAGUGUACUGUACUCCUAUACAAUUAAAAAAUAAUUGAUGUCCAUGCUUA
RNAcentral lists this long non-coding RNA (2239 nucleotides) under Homo sapiens (human). Its description in RNAcentral is "long intergenic non-protein coding RNA 3103". Lineage: Eukaryota; Metazoa; Chordata; Mammalia; Primates; Hominidae. The record is from RNAcentral.